Molecule: ribosomal RNA, 460 nt
Filed under: uncultured bacterium
Lineage: Bacteria
Description: partial 16S ribosomal RNA
Rfam family: Bacterial small subunit ribosomal RNA
Source: RNAcentral
CCUACGGGAGGCAGCAGUGAGGAAUAUUGGUCAAUGGGCGCGAGCCUGAACCAGCCAAGUCGCGUGAAGGAAGACUGCCCUACGGGUUGUAAACUUCUUUUAUAAGGGAAUAAAGUGAGGCACGUGUGACUUUUUGUAUGUACUUUAUGAAUAAGGAUCGGCUAACUCCGUGCCAGCAGCCGCGGUAAUACGGAGGAUCCGAGCGUUAUCCGGAUUUAUUGGGUUUAAAGGGAGCGUAGAUGGGGUGUUAAGUCAGUUGUGAAAGUUCGGGGCUCAACCGUAGAAUUGCAUUUGAUACUGGAAGCCUUGAGUACGGUUGAGGUAGGCGGAAUUCGUGGUGUAGCGGUGAAAUGCUUAGAUAUCACGAAGAACUCCGAUUGCGAAGGCAGCCUACUGGACUGCCACUGACGUUGAUGCUCGAAAGUGUGGGUAUCAAACAGGAUUAGAUACCCGGGUAGUC